This 608-nucleotide ribosomal RNA is filed under the name uncultured bacterium. RNAcentral describes it as "bacterial SSU rRNA". It matches the Rfam family "Bacterial small subunit ribosomal RNA", at positions 86 to 691 of the family's 1533-position model. The record is from RNAcentral.
UGAUGACGACCGGCAAACGGGUGCGCAACACGUACAGAACCUUCCUUUAAGCGGGGGAUAGCCCGGAGAAAUCCGGAUUAAUACCUCAUAGUAAUAUUUGGUGGCAUCAUCAGAUAUUUAAAGAUUUAUCACUUAGAGAUGGCUGUGCGUCUGAUUAGGUAGUUGGUUGGGGUAAUGGCCCACCAAGCCUUCGAUCAGUAACUGGUGUGAGAGCACGACCAGUCACACGGGCACUGAGACACGGGCCCGACUCCUACGGGAGGCAGCAGUAAGGAAUAUUGGUCAAUGGAGGCAACUCUGAACCAGCCAUGCCGCGUGAAGGAUGAAGGUCCUCUGGAUUGUAAACUUCUUUUAUGUGGGAAGAAAUGCAUUCUUUAUAGAGUGUUUGACGGUACCAUAGGAAUAAGCACCGGCUAACUCCGUGCCAGCAGCCGCGGUAAUACGGAGGGUGCGAGCGUUAUCCGGAUUCACUGGGUUUAAAGGGUGCGUAGGUGGGGAAGUAAGUCAGUGGUGAAAUCUCCGUGCUUAACAUGGAAACUGCCAUUGAUACUAUUUUUCUUGAAUUUUCCGGAGGUUAGCGGAAUAUGUCAUGUAGCGGUGAAAUGCUU